Small nucleolar RNA from Callithrix jacchus (white-tufted-ear marmoset), 104 nucleotides. Lineage: Eukaryota; Metazoa; Chordata; Mammalia; Primates; Cebidae. The record is from Ensembl.
AUCCUUUUAUAGUUCCUAAAUGUGAUGACUGGAUGUUCACGUGCAUGUGUGAGCUGUACCAUCUUCAAACCUUGUGCCGACAUUGGUACGUUACCCAGCUGACA